ACUAUAAAUAGCAUAUAGAUAGAUCGAUAAAUAGUAUAUCGUGGUUACAUUCAUUCAAUCAUUUGAAGUGCUCGCGUACACCCAAACCCUUCGCACUAGUACUGCCCGACGAUCUUUGCUGCGCCUAUAAUUCUCUAUACUUCUAUAUAUUUCUUUUCUUUUUUGUGGGCUAUAGAAUUUCACACAUUGUUGCUAUACUAUUCUACUCCUUGUAUCAGAUCUUCCAUACAAGGGAUAAUCCGAAAAGAGAUAACAAUUCCUUGGAGAAGAUUCAAUGAAACUAUAUUAAAGUUUUGAGACCAAUCUUUGUUCGUCAUUGUCGUCAUCUCGGCUAUAUCAUGGCUGGAAGAACGCAUACAUAUAACCAGAGGAAAAACACGGAAACAGAAAUUCGAAGUAAAGAACGAGGAAAGGAAAAAAGAAAAAACGCAAGAGAGACAAACUUCCGCUAGAGCCUGGCUAAAGAUCGCCGAGAAAUCGGUGAUUGAUUUUUAUCAAUCCAACUCGGAAUCCAUGUCGAUGGUGCUGCCGGUGCUGGCGGUGGUGGACAGGAAAGUGGUGGUGGCGGAGGAGUCGCCGCUGGGGCUGGAUUCCAGCGGCGGCGAUGGCUCCUCCUCAGUCUCGGCCUCCUCUAGCUCCUGAUCGGUCUCGCCGCCCAAUUCGUCGUCCGAAUCGUGGCGGAGCAUUUGGAGGACGAGCCUCCCCUGGCUGCGGAUGGGCUGGAAGAGCAUGAGCUGCGCGCCGUGCGCCGCCUUGAUCUCGUGGAGCACCACGCGAUUGUUGCUGCGAUUGGCCGAGAGGAGCGUCCACGGCACCUGGAGCGGCAGAUGGUUGUAGCUCGUGCGCGCCAGCGAUGGCAUCGGCGGCGGGAAUUCCCCCUUUCUGAAGCGGUGGGGGUGCUGAUCGUCCUCCGCGCUGCUCUUCUCCAUUUGGGGCAGCUGGAUCACCGAAUCGACCAUCACGGGACCUCUCAUUCUUGCCUCCUUUUCUUUUUCUCCUCCCUCGCUAGCUGGAUCGAUCAGACGAUCCGGGCGCGCGGCGCGACUGGAUUGGAUUUCAAUCGGUUAAAAAACAGAGGAAGAUAGAGGAGCGCCAGGCCAGAGGGGAUCCCAGAAUCGAUCCAAUCGCGCAAAGGGAAUCCAAUCCAAUAGACUGGGAACUGUGAUGGGCGCUACUACUGCAUUGAUCGCUCACGCUCUUGGGUGAAAGACACAGGAAGAAAACUAAGUGGACUACCUAGUAGCAUAUGACUGGUGGUAUAUAUAGGAAUAUCCCCCCGGCGGCUAGGGCUUUGCUUUCACUCUCCCUAUAAUUCAAACCAAGAGAAUCAGUGUCAGGGCCAAAACUAGCAUGCUUCAUGACAACACGAAACCAUGUAUCAUAGCCUAAUUCUUCUAACGGAUUUUCC
Molecule: long non-coding RNA, 1408 nt
Filed under: Selaginella moellendorffii
Lineage: Eukaryota; Viridiplantae; Streptophyta; Lycopodiopsida; Selaginellales; Selaginellaceae
Description: long non-coding RNA (SMOE_LNC000821)
Source: RNAcentral